This 465-nucleotide ribosomal RNA is filed under the name uncultured bacterium. Its description in RNAcentral is "partial 16S ribosomal RNA". It matches the Rfam family "Bacterial small subunit ribosomal RNA", at positions 338 to 795 of the family's 1533-position model. The record is from RNAcentral.
CCUACGGGGGGCAGCAGUGGGGAAUAUUGCGCAAUGGGCGAAAGCCUGACGCAGCGACGCCGCGUGAGGGAUGAAGGUCUUCGGAUCGUAAACCUCUGUCAGCAGGGAAGAACGGUCACUGUGCUAAUCAGCAGUGAAUUGACGGUACCUGCAAAGGAAGCACCGGCUAACUCCGUGCCAGCAGCCGCGGUAAUACGGAGGGUGCGAGCGUUAAUCGGAAUUACUGGGCGUAAAGCGCUCGUAGGCGGUAUGUCAAGUCAAGGGUGAAAUCCCCGCGCUCAACGUGGGAACUGCCUUUGAAACUGGCAAACUGGAGUGGAAGAGAAGUAUGCGGAAUGCGUGGUGUAGCGGUGAAAUGCAUAGAUAUCACGCAGAACCCCGAUUGCGAAGGCAGCAUGCCGGCUUCCGACUGACGCUGAAGCACGAAAGCGUGGGGAUCGAACAGGAUUAGAUACCCUUGUAGUC